This 482-nucleotide ribosomal RNA is filed under the name uncultured bacterium. RNAcentral's name for it is "partial 16S ribosomal RNA". It matches the Rfam family "Bacterial small subunit ribosomal RNA", at positions 29 to 523 of the family's 1533-position model. The record is from RNAcentral.
AGCGAACGCUAGCGGCGGGCCUCAAACAUGCAAGUCGUACGCGAAAGGUAGCAAUACCGAGUAGAGUGGCGCACGGGUGAGUAACACGUAACUAACUUCCCCUCUCGCUGGGGAUAACUCCGGGAAACCGGAGCUAAUACCGAAUGAUCUCAUUGGGACUGCGGUCUUGGUGGGUAAAGUCGUAAGACGCGAGAGGAUAGGGUUGCGGCCUAUUAACUAGUUGGUGGGGUAAUGGCCUACCAAGGUUACGAUAGGUAGCUGGUCUGAGAGGACGAUCAGCCACACUGGGACUGACACACGGCCCAGACUCCCACGGGAGGCAGCAGUGGGGAAUAUUGGGCAAUGGAGGAAACUCUGACCCAGCGACGCCGCGUGCGGGAUGAAGGCCUUCGGGUUGUAAACCGCUUUCAGCAGGGAAGAAGCGAAAGUGACGGUACCUGCAGAAGAAGCACCGGCUAACUAUGUGCCAGCCGCCGCAGUAA